UACCGUCUCACAAAACAGCUGACACGUAAUCUGUGUGAUGAUUUGAGGCCU
RNAcentral lists this non-coding RNA (51 nucleotides) under Spodoptera frugiperda (fall armyworm). The record is from RNAcentral. Lineage: Eukaryota; Metazoa; Arthropoda; Insecta; Lepidoptera; Noctuidae.